GCCCAAUCAUCCAUAAUCAAAAAAGCAUUUACAUUUUCAAGCUUUCUCUUAAAUAUAUACAGCUGUGAUUAUCAUACUCAAGAUUCUGAGUUUCUGAGUAGAAACCCUCACCUAACAUGACAAUCAUAAGGAACAAUUACACGAUCUGGAACAAUGAGAGGCAAUUUAUCGAUGUACAUAAAAAGCCUCUUGCAAUUCUCUCUUGAAAUUAAGGAUAAAUCAACAGUAU
This 229-nucleotide unclassified non-coding RNA is filed under the name Hevea brasiliensis (rubber tree). Lineage: Eukaryota; Viridiplantae; Streptophyta; Magnoliopsida; Malpighiales; Euphorbiaceae. The record is from RNAcentral.